RNAcentral lists this unclassified non-coding RNA (205 nucleotides) under Hevea brasiliensis (rubber tree). Lineage: Eukaryota; Viridiplantae; Streptophyta; Magnoliopsida; Malpighiales; Euphorbiaceae. The record is from RNAcentral.
GCUAAUCGUCUAGGACUUCAUGAGGGAUCUCUUUCACACCAUGAUAUGAAGGGUGAUGUUAACGGUAUUACACUGAUUGCUGACAUUGUCCUCUACUUCUCCCCCCAAUAUGAGCAAGAAUUUCCUCCUAUUCUGAUACGAGCUAUGUCGUUUGGAAUACCAAUUGUCGCGCCAGACUAUCCUGUUAUUAAGAAAUAUGUUGCUG